This 201-nucleotide long non-coding RNA is filed under the name Homo sapiens (human). RNAcentral describes it as "HSALNT0059759". The record is from RNAcentral. Lineage: Eukaryota; Metazoa; Chordata; Mammalia; Primates; Hominidae.
GUCUCUAGAUGUUUCUGUUUAAAUCGUCGUAGCCCUAGUCUAGAGCGCCGGCUUUGGGGUCAGGCCCGGGUUCGAGUCCCAGCCUUCGCCGCUGCGUCGAGUGACUUAACCUCUCCUAGCUUCAGUCACCUGCAGAUUGAGAGUCUACUACUUUUUACUGCUCAGAACUUCCUAUUCCUUAGCUGCAAAAUAGGCAGAAAU